GACGAACGCUGGCGGCGUGCUUAACACAUGCAAGUCGAACGGAAAGGCUCCAGCUUGCUGGAGUACUCGAGUGGCGAACGGGUGAGUAACACGUGGGUAAUCUGCCCUGCACUCUGGGAUAAGCCUGGGAAACUGGGUCUAAUACUGGAUAUGACUUUUCUCCUUAUGGGGUUUGGUGGAAAGUUUUUCGGUGUAGGAUGAGCCCGCGGCCUACCAGCUUGUUGGUGGGGUGAUGGCCUACCAAGGCGACGACGGGUAGCCGGCCUGAGAGGGUGAUCGGCCACAUUGGGACUGAGAUACGGCCCAGACUCCUACGGGAGGCAGCAGUGGGGAAUAUUGCACAAUGGGCGGAAGCCUGAUGCAGCGACGCCGCGUGAGGGAUGACGGCCUUCGGGUUGUAAACCUCUUUCAGCAGGGACGAAGCGUAAGUGACGGUACCUGCAGAAGAAGCACCGGCUAACUAUGUG
This 467-nucleotide ribosomal RNA is filed under the name uncultured bacterium. RNAcentral describes it as "partial 16S ribosomal RNA". It matches the Rfam family "Bacterial small subunit ribosomal RNA", at positions 28 to 507 of the family's 1533-position model. The record is from RNAcentral.